UACGUAGGGUGCGAGCGUUGUCCGGAAUUAUUGGGCGUAAAGGGCUCGUAGGCGGUUUGUCGCGUCGGGAGUGAAAACACUGGGCUUAACUCAGUGCUUGCUUCCGAUACGGGCAGACUAGAGGUAUGCAGGGGAGAACGGAAUUCCUGGUGUAGCGGUGAAAUGCGCAGAUAUCAGGAGGAACACCGGUGGCGAAGGCGGUUCUCUGGGCAUUACCCGAUGCGCUGAGGAGCGAAAGUGUGGGGAGCGAACAGG
This 255-nucleotide ribosomal RNA is filed under the name uncultured bacterium. Its description in RNAcentral is "partial 16S ribosomal RNA". It matches the Rfam family "Bacterial small subunit ribosomal RNA", at positions 524 to 776 of the family's 1533-position model. The record is from RNAcentral.